AAUCAAGCGCGAGAAGGGCGUUUGGUGGAUGCCUUGGCAGUAAGAGGCGAUGAAGGACGUGGUACUCUGCGAUAAGUCAUGGGGAGCUGAGAACAGGCUUUGAUCCAUGAAUUUCCGAAUGGGGCAACCCACCUGACAGUUUGUUAUAAUAGCCGCAAGGCUGCUUAUAAUGGGCUGAAACAGGUACUUAUAGACUGAAUACAUAGGUUUAUAAGAGCAAACCCGGGGAACUGAAACAUCUAAGUACCCGGAGGAAAGGACAUCAAUAGAGACUCCCCUAGUAGCGGCGAGCGAACGGGGACCAGCCGAGUCCUGAGAGUGACCAGAACAAUCUGGAAAGAUUGGCCAUAGCGGGUGACAGCCCCGUAUGGGAAGCUCAAUGGAACGUAUUAAGUAGGGCGGAACACGUGAAAUUCUGUCUGAAGAUCGGGGGACCACCCCCGAAGGCUAAGUACUCCUUACUGACCGAUAGCGAACCAGUACCGUGAGGGAAAGGUGAAAAGCACCCCGACGAGGGGAGUGAAACAGUACCUGAAACCGAACGCCUACAAUCAGUCGGAGCUUGACUGGACUCUAAUAGCCGAAACUGAGUGCCAAACGCGCUCAAGUAGCCGAAGGCGGUAGCGCAAAAAGAAUGUUAUUAGUGUCCAGUCUUGUGACGGCGUACCUUUUGUAUAAUGGGUCAUCGACUUGGUCUAUCUAGCAAGCUUAAGCCGUUAGGUGUAGGCGCAGCGAAAGCGAGUCUUAAUAGGGCGUUGAGUUAGAUGGAUCAGACCCGAAACCGAGUGAUCUAGGCAUGACCAGGAUGAAGGUAAGGUAACACUUACUGGAGGUCCGAACCCACACCUGUUGAAAAAGGUCGGGAUGAGUUGUGCCUAGGGGUGAAAGGCCAAUCAAACUCGGAGAUAGCUGGUUCUCUGCGAAAUCUAUUUAGGUAGAGCGUCAUCCGAAUACCCCGGGGGGUAGAGCACUGGAUGGGUAAUGGGGCCCCACAGGCUUACUGAUCCUAACCAAACUCCGAAUACCCGGGAGUACUAGAUGGCAGACACACAGCGGAUGCUAACGUCCGUUGUGAAGAGGGAAACAACCCUGACCUACAGCUAAGGCCCCUAAUUCAUGGCUAAGUGGGAAAGCAGGUGGGACGACCAAAACAACCAGGAGGUUGGCUUAGAAGCAGCCAUCCUUUAAAGAUAGCGUAACAGCUCACUGGUCUAAACAAGUUGUCCUGCGGCGAAGAUGUAACGGGGCUCAAGCCAUGAGCCGAAGCUUAGGAUGCCGUAAGGCAUGGUAGCAGAGCGUAGUGUGACAUAGUUCCCUGUCUCUUUAGCGACUUCGGUCGUUACGGAGACGAGGAGCUUUCUGUGAAGCCCGGGCGUGAGCCAUCGGGUGGAGAGAUCACUAGUGAGAAUGAUGACAUGAGUAGCGACAAAGGGUGUGAGAGACACCCUCGCCGAAAGUCCAAGGGUUCCUGCUUAAAGCUAAUCUGAGCAGGGUAAGCCGACCCCUAAGGCGAGGCCGAAAGGCGUAGUCGAUGGGAACCAGGUUAAUAUUCCUGGGCCAGAUGGAAGUGACGGAUCUCGAAGGUUGUUCGUUCUUAUCGGAUUGAACGGGCCGCUUAGAGGUUCCUGGAAAUAGCUCCAUCGCUAGAUCGUACCCUAAACCGACACAGGUGGACUGGUAGAGAAUACCAAGGCGCUUGAGAGAACUAUGUUGAAGGAACUCGGCAAAAUACCUCCGUAAGUUCGCGAGAAGGAGGCCCGGUUUCUAGGCAACUAGAGGCUGGGGGCACAAACCAGGGGGUGGCGACUGUUUACUAAAAACACAGGGCUCUGCGAAGUCGUAAGACGACGUAUAGGGUCUGACGCCUGCCCGGUGCCUGAAGGUUAAAAGGAGGGGUGCAAGCUCUGAAUUGAAGCCCAGGUAAACGGCGGCCGUAACUAUAACGGUCCUAAGGUAGCGAAAUUCCUUGUCGGGUAAGUUCCGACCUGCACGAAUGGCGUAACGACUUCCCCGCUGUCUCCAACAUAGACUCAGCGAAAUUGAAUUGCCUGUCAAGAUGCAGGCUUCCCGCGGUUAGACGGAAAGACCCCGUGCACCUUUACUACAGCUUCACACUGGCAUUAGGCCGAACAUGUGCAGAAUAGGUGGUAGGCUUUGAAGCGGAGACGCCAGUCUUCGUGGAGCCUCCUUUGAGAUACCACCCUUGUUCUGCUUGAUGUCUAACCGCGGUCCGUUAUCCGGAUCCGGGACCCUGUGUGGCGGGUAGUUUGACUGGGGCGGUCGCCUCCUAAAGCGUAACGGAGGCGCGCGAAGGUUGGCUCAGAGCGGUCGGAAAUCGCUCGUUGAGUGCAAUGGCAGAAGCCAGCCUGACUGCAAGACUGACAAGUCGAGCAGAGACGAAAGUCGGCCAUAGUGAUCCGGUGGUCCCAAGUGGGAGGGCCAUCGCUCAACGGAUAAAAGGUACGCCGGGGAUAACAGGCUGAUACUGCCCAAGAGUCCAUAUCGACGGCAGUGUUUGGCACCUCGAUGUCGGCUCAUCUCAUCCUGGGGCUGGAGCAGGUCCCAAGGGUACGGCUGUUCGCCGUUUAAAGAGGUACGUGAGCUGGGUUUAGAACGUCGUGAGACAGUUCGGUCCCUAUCUGCCGUGGGUGUAGGAUACUUGAGAGGAGUUGCCCCUAGUACGAGAGGACCGGGGUGAACGAACCACUGGUGGACCAGUUGUCGUGCCAACGGCAGUGCUGGGUAGCUAUGUUCGGACAGGAUAACCGCUGAAGGCAUCUAAGCGGGAAGCCCCCCUCAAAACAAGGUAUCCCUGAGGGCCGUGGUAGACCACCACGUCGAUAGGCCGGAGAUGUAAGCGCAGCAAUGUGUUCAGUUGACCGGUACUAAUGGCCCGAUAGGCUUGAUUUG
RNAcentral lists this ribosomal RNA (2910 nucleotides) under Puniceibacterium sediminis. Its description in RNAcentral is "bacterial LSU rRNA". It matches the Rfam family "Bacterial large subunit ribosomal RNA". The record is from RNAcentral. Lineage: Bacteria; Pseudomonadati; Pseudomonadota; Alphaproteobacteria; Rhodobacterales; Paracoccaceae.